RNAcentral lists this ribosomal RNA (314 nucleotides) under uncultured bacterium. Its description in RNAcentral is "partial 16S ribosomal RNA". It matches the Rfam family "Bacterial small subunit ribosomal RNA", at positions 499 to 807 of the family's 1533-position model. The record is from RNAcentral.
UUAUAAGAGACAGCAGUCGCCGCGGUAAUACAGAGGGUGCGAGCGUUAAUCGGAUUUACUGGGCGUAAAGCGUGCGUAGGCGGCUUCUUAAGUCGGAUGUGAAAUCCCUGAGCUUAACUUAGGAAUUGCAUUCGAUACUGGGAAGCUAGAGUAUGGGAGAGGAUGGUAGAAUUCCAGGUGUAGCGGUGAAAUGCGUAGAGAUCUGGAGGAAUACCGAUGGCGAAGGCAGCCAUCUGGCCUAAUACUGACGCUGAGGUACGAAAGCAUGGGGAGCAAACAGGAUUAGAUACCCGGGUAGUCCCUGUCUCUUAUAC